UUAUCCUAGGAGAGCAUUCUCACGCAUGGGAAGGGCUUUUCCACGGCUUGGAGGAACUUUUGAAGAAUGAAAACCCCUAAUUUCUUUAUUUGAUCAAAAUUCCUCUAAUUUCCUCUUUUAACUCCAACUCCUUUUCCUUUUUCUUUAAGGCUUCCUUUUUGAAAUCAAAUUGAAAGAGAGAGAUGUUUUGACGUUCCAUAAUGUUUGGAAACCGGUCCACCUCCUUCCAUGAAUUCUCUUUCCAUUAGAAUUUCAUAUCUUGGUCGUGGCAUGCAUACGCGUACACAUGUGUAGUUGGAUUUCAUGAGAAACUUUCCUUUUCUUCUUGUAUAUAAGAGCAACUUCAUUCAUAUUAUUUAUUUUUAUUUUUAUUAAAACUGACUUUCCAUCAUGUAUUCAAACACGCUCAAAGUUAUGAUUUCCAGCGAUGUUAAUGGUAGCAUCGAUUCCGCCCCUUCUCGCUGGAGUUUGAUGAAACCCGCAAAUUUUGUUAUCUCAGGAAUAAAACACAAAUAUUCAGAGGGGGUAAGUGAUUUUGAACACAUGUUAGAGUCCCCGGAUAGGUGAACCAAAACUCCUUCUUUCCGGACUAUCAUGGAAGAAAGAUACGAUGAACUCCAGGUUGCUAAUGCAAAUGAGAGAAUUGAAAUUGGUAGUGGAGUAGGAGUUACCAUGAAUUUGAGUCAGAUCAUAGAGCGUAACUCUCAUUCUUCGGAGUACUCAGAUUCUAACAUGGAAGCUCCAAUUUCUUUUUCACUCACGACUGGUCCCGCCAAGUUGUCUGGUGAUAGUUUGAACGGUGGUCUUCACCUCAUCCCAAGCAUAAAAACUAUUUACCCUGAUCAGAAAGUUAUAGGUGGAUUUAGUGUUCCUAGUCGCCAUGCCUUGGUGUGUUCUGAAAUAUAGGUGAAAUUCGGCCACAUCGCUACAACUGAGGUUUUGAAACACAACUCUCUUUCUGUUACGUUCGUGGACGAUUUUUUUUUUUAUUGUGGAAGAGAUGCAUUCAAAAUCCUUCAAUGAAAUUACCAAAGAGUUUAUAUCCAGCUGGGAAAAUAUUAUCUCUUCUUACGAAGGCGUUCGCUUCAACAUAGGAUGGUUGCGCUCGGAGCUUGAGUCCAUUCAAAAUGAAUAUGCAUCUCUUCGAGAGUUACCCAAUUUUUCUUAUCCUAUCUUAGUAUCGGAGGAACAACAACUAGUCGAGGAAGGGUUGUCUAUUGGACUCAUGAAGAGAAUUUUAACAAUAAAGUUUCGACUUAUUUGCACAAGGUUGGGACAUGGGAACGCGGGGAGAAGAAAGUGUUGAGAGGUUUCCUCUAAAGGGUUUCUUUUUUCUUUCGAAUGAUCUCAAUUCCUUAGGUUGAAUAGGUUUUGAUUUGAAAUAACACUACUUAUAACUUCCAUGUUUA
This is a long non-coding RNA of Papaver somniferum (opium poppy), 1409 nucleotides long. RefSeq lists it as uncharacterized. NCBI's taxonomy places the organism in Eukaryota, Viridiplantae, Streptophyta, Magnoliopsida, Ranunculales, Papaveraceae. The record is from RefSeq and is a predicted model, not a curated record. The transcript is spliced from 3 exons.